CUGCUGCCUUCCGUAGGAGUUUGGACCGUGUCUCAGUUCCAAUGUGGGGGACCUUCCUCUCAGAACCCCUAUCCAUCGAUGCCUUGGUGGGCCGUUACCCCGCCAACAAGCUAAUGGAACGCAUCUCCAUCGAUGACCGAAAUUCUUUAAUAGUUCUACCAUGCGGAAGAACUAUGCCAUCGGGUAUUAAUCUUUCUUUCGAAAGGCUAUCCCCGAGUCAUCGGCAGGUUGGAUACGUGUUACUCACCCGUGCGCCGGUCG
RNAcentral lists this ribosomal RNA (261 nucleotides) under uncultured bacterium. RNAcentral's name for it is "partial 16S ribosomal RNA". The record is from RNAcentral.